ACAUACAUGUAGACAGCAAAUUA
Molecule: non-coding RNA, 23 nt
Filed under: Cricetulus griseus (Chinese hamster)
Lineage: Eukaryota; Metazoa; Chordata; Mammalia; Rodentia; Cricetidae
Source: RNAcentral